RNAcentral lists this unclassified non-coding RNA (216 nucleotides) under Hevea brasiliensis (rubber tree). Lineage: Eukaryota; Viridiplantae; Streptophyta; Magnoliopsida; Malpighiales; Euphorbiaceae. The record is from RNAcentral.
AAGAGGUGUUAAAUUGCUCAGGUCCAUAUGUUAAUCAGUCAAAUUAAACUAGCAUAAUCACAUUUAGACAAAAAAGAACUUCCAGCAACCAAUGUCUCAAUCAAAUGGCACCAGUCCCACAAUUAUCUUAAUCUGACUCUUCUGGCUUUCAAAACAACUGGUGAACAUUCCACAUAAACUAACCUAAUAUACAACUGUAUUAGGAGUUACUUGUGA